UUGGAGGGCAAGUCUGGUGCCAGCAGCCGCGGUAAUUCCAGCUCCAAUAGCGUAUAUUAAAGCUGUUGCAGUUAAAAAGCUCGUAGUUGAAUUUCGGGGUUAGUAGGUUGGUCAUGCCUCAGGUAUGUACUGAUCUCACUGAUUCCUCCUUCCUGACGAACCGUAAUGCCAUUAAUUUGGUGUUGCGGGGAGUCUGGACUGUUACUUUGAAAAAAUUAGAGUGUUUAAAGCAGGCUAACGCUUGAAUACAUUAGCAUGGAAUAACGAAAUAGGACGUUCGAUCCUAUUUUGUUGGUUUCUAGGAUUGACGUAAUGAUUAAUAGGGAUAGUUGGGGGCAUUAGUAUUCAAUUGUCAGAGGUGAAAUUCUUGGAUUUAUUGAAGACUAACUACUGCGAAAGCAUUUGCCAAGGAUGUUUUCAUUAAUCAAGAACGAAAGUUAGGGGAUCGAAGACGAUCAGAUACCGUCGUAGUCUUAACCAUAAACUAUGCCGACUAGGGAUCGGAUGAUGUUAAUUUUUUAAUGACUCAUUCGGCGCCUUACGGGAAAC
RNAcentral lists this ribosomal RNA (549 nucleotides) under uncultured Glomus. RNAcentral's name for it is "SSU rRNA". It matches the Rfam family "Eukaryotic small subunit ribosomal RNA", at positions 548 to 1098 of the family's 1831-position model. Lineage: Eukaryota; Fungi; Glomeromycota; Glomeromycetes; Glomerales; Glomeraceae. The record is from RNAcentral.